Paralichthys olivaceus (Japanese flounder) is the source of this 610-nucleotide long non-coding RNA. RefSeq lists it as uncharacterized. NCBI's taxonomy places the organism in Eukaryota, Metazoa, Chordata, Actinopteri, Pleuronectiformes, Paralichthyidae. The record is from RefSeq and is a predicted model, not a curated record.
AAACAAGCAGCACCUGUCUCUGCUUUUAAAGGGGUCAGUGUGUGUUCCCUCAUCACAAUGGAUCCAUUAUGAGCCUUUUUAGAACAUGACUGGUUUCCUCCUCAGUCCAACUUCAAUGGAAAUGAAGUCACUUAAGUCGGAACAACGACUUCUCAACUCGAGAAAUGGGAUCUUCUGAGGUGCAGAACUGUGAGAUGGAUGACACGUCUCAACUUCCUCCCACUAUUGAAAGAUGAAGCCAAAAUAUCCCAGGUACCGACACUGCCAUCGUGCACAUCUGGAGACACAGUCUGUGCAGUAGCGAUCAGCGGAAUGGAGCAGCAGAAUCAAGAUCCCGUCGAUAAGUCGCUGACUGCUGAUUGGCAGUUUGAUGGAGUGUAAUACAUCAGUGUGAUGACAUGAGAUCUGGCCGUGCACACAUUUGAUGCCUCACUCUCAAACCAUGCAAGGGGAAACAGCAAACACCUUCCGUGACCAGGCACCUGGGCCAACACAUAAACAAGAUACUCAGCGUCUCCAGGGGUAACUGAGAGCAGCAGAUGAGGCAGGCAAGUGCUGCGCUUGUUCACUGAUCGAUGCCAUACAUAGUGCAUGAGUUCGCUAAGAACUA